RNAcentral lists this unclassified non-coding RNA (514 nucleotides) under Hevea brasiliensis (rubber tree). The record is from RNAcentral. Lineage: Eukaryota; Viridiplantae; Streptophyta; Magnoliopsida; Malpighiales; Euphorbiaceae.
GUGAGCAAGAAGUAUCGGAUAACGCUUCAACCCUCGGACGCCUGCCCUUCGUUGCUGCCGUCUGUAUCGACUUUGUUUCAGAAAUUCUCGACUUACAAUUCAUAAAGAGGGUCUCAUUGAUCAAAAUUGAGAGAGCAUGAUUAUGUUGUAGUGGUAAUUAUUUUGGCAUGCUUUGAUAAUGGUGGCUGAUCAGUGGAAGAAACGUCUACGUGCUAUCAACAAUACUGACUGUCAUCUGGAACCCCAUGGACUGAAGAAGAAGAAAAAGAAGCAGGGAUUAGCAGGAUACAAUUUGAAGUUAAGAUCCAAUGUUUCUCUGGUUUGGGAUGACAAAAAAAGGUGUGUUCUUGCCAAGAAGGAGCAAAUUGGCAUUUCACAGAGAGAAUUGUCUCCCUUUUUGGAUUCUAUCUCACAUCACCAUAGCAUAUUAGCUGAUGUUUUUACUCUACCUCAUGAAACUUUUGAACUCAAUAAUUUAAGUGAUGUCCUCUCCCACAAGGUUUGGCAGGCAAAC